AUGAUGAUGUUACUAAAGUAAAAGUGAAUUAGAAACGUACGCAUUUAAACUGACGUAUAAACGAAGAAAAUCUCCAACAGAUGUUGUCCUGCCUUUUAAAUCCUCCGAAGUAUUGCUCAAACAUUCUAAAAGAAAAUCUAUCCAGUCACCUCCUUCCGUCACGUUUCUCAACUCUCGACCUUUGCCAACGAGGCCAAUAAUGGCUGAACAGUCAAAGCGAUCGAGAGUCUUCCCAAUGGUGUCACGUUGUCCGGUAAAUUUUGAAGAACAGAACCAACGAUUCCACCACCUGGUCCUGACCACCAUUCUUUUCUUCUUUGUCGUCGAGAGGACCAAUCAUUAAUCAAUGAAUUUGUCUGUUCUUGAGUGGGUACGUCGCCGGUUAAUAGUAACCAAAAAACAGCUUCAACACUUGGAGAUGUUCCAUUACGUGGAAGAAGAUUUAAAACUUCUGGGAUAGUUAAUCCACGAUUAGGUAAUCAUCAUUACCCCAUACUUGGAAUCAUUUUCUGACGUUUCUCUGACCAUUGUAUUGACACCUUGAAGACCAUCGUAUACAUUGUCCACAGUAAUACGACUGAUCACAGAUUGACCGUGUUCUUUUCGAAAAUUUCGAAGGAGAUCAUAAUGAACCGGAAUUUUUUCGCAUAGAGCUUCCUUCAAAUUUGUACUUGUACUUGGAACGCCUCUCGUUGUACUGACCUUCAUAAAAAAAUCUUUUGCUGUAGUCAAUAGUUAUUACAUAAAUGAUCAUAAAGGAUUCUAAUUAUAAUCUUCAAACCCUUAGCACGUAUCGUUGUCCUAUAUUCGAAUUAGAUUUACAAAUGCCAGUAAUUCUGUAACCUCUUUUUUGAUUCUUCGAUGCGAUUUGAUAUCCAAAACUUUUCAAUAACAUUUUUUUUGGAUUUCCUUCGACAAUUCAGACAUAGCUAAAUAAUCUCAGACUUAGAAAUUCGUUUUCGAUUUGAUAUAUUGUUGAUUGAAAUAUUAGUAUUUAUAUUACGAUAAUUUUGAUAAUUUUUCACCCCAUUGCCCAGCCAUGAUUAUGCCAAAGAUAAACAUUUCAUGAAUGAUCGUAGAACAAAUGAGAAACGAUAGGAAAAUAUAUCAAUCAAAUGAAAAAAAUUCUAUUAGGUAUUACAAAAACAAUUCUCCUUGGAAUUUUUUAUUGUACGACUUCAGAAUAGAAAAUAAAGAGUCACGUUUCACACAUAAAAUAACACUUCUCUCAUUCCUGGGUACAAAGAUUUUCAACGAACACGCGUUUUGUAUUUUGUAUGUGUAUAUAUACAUACAUGUAUAUAUGAAUAUAUACACACACAUACACACAUCAUGUGGUCUAUAAUUAAUUUACGUAUAUCAUAUCGUACAAUGUAUGUAUACGAUAUACAUACGUUGCCUAGAUAGCUUUAAAUAACAAUCCGAUUAAAUAC
Vespa velutina is the source of this 1433-nucleotide long non-coding RNA. RefSeq lists it as uncharacterized. NCBI's taxonomy places the organism in Eukaryota, Metazoa, Arthropoda, Insecta, Hymenoptera, Vespidae. The record is from RefSeq and is a predicted model, not a curated record. The transcript has 3 exons.